RNAcentral lists this transfer RNA (72 nucleotides) under Bos taurus (domestic cattle). It matches the Rfam family "tRNA". From Rfam's summary of the family: Transfer RNA (tRNA) molecules are approximately 80 nucleotides in length. Their secondary structure includes four short double-helical elements and three loops (D, anti-codon, and T loops). The record is from Rfam by way of RNAcentral. Lineage: Eukaryota; Metazoa; Chordata; Mammalia; Artiodactyla; Bovidae. RNAcentral also lists the same sequence under 2 other names.
UCCCUCAUAGCUCAGUCGGUAAAGAAUCUGCCUGCAAUGCAGGAGACCCAGGUUCGAUUCCUGGCUCGGGAA